Molecule: small nucleolar RNA, 206 nt
Filed under: Nicotiana attenuata
Lineage: Eukaryota; Viridiplantae; Streptophyta; Magnoliopsida; Solanales; Solanaceae
Description: snoRNA Plant_U3
Rfam family: Plant small nucleolar RNA U3
About the family: Small nucleolar RNAs (snoRNAs) are involved in the processing and modification of rRNA in the nucleolus. There are two main classes of snoRNAs: the box C/D class, and the box H/ACA class.
Source: Rfam by way of RNAcentral
ACGACCUUACUUGAACAGGAUCUGUUCUAUAGGCUCGUACCACUGUAUCCUUGAGUUCUAAGGAGACAGAGAGCCAAAUCUGGUGGAUGAAUCAUGGCCAUUAGAUUAUAGCGUGAUUAACAGUACCCGUAGCCUUCUGGUUCAUGGAACCGUAGAUGAUCUCCAACAAUGGUGCUUGAGAUGGUCUAAUGGCUAUCUGACAGACU